GAGAGUGCACUCCUACGGGAGGCAGCAGUGGGGAAUAUUGCACAAUGGGCGCAAGCCUGAUGCAGCCAUGCCGCGUGUAUGAAGAAGGCCUUCGGGUUGUAAAGUACUUUCAGCAGUGAGGAAGGUGGGUAUGUUAAUAGCAUACUCAUUUGACGUUAGCUGCAGAAGAAGCACCGGCUAACUCCGUGCCAGCAGCCGCGGUAAUACGGAGGGUGCGAGCGUUAAUCGGAAUUACUGGGCGUAAAGCGCAUGCAGGUGGUUUGUUAAGUCAGAUGUGAAAGCCCGGGGCUCAACCUCGGAAUUGCAUUUGAAACUGGCAAACUAGAGUACUGUAGAGGGGGUAGAAUUUCAGGUGUAGCGGUGAAAUGCGUAGAGAUCUGAAGGAAUACCGGUGGCGAAGGCGGCCCCCUGGACAGAUACUGACACUCAGAUGCGAAAGCCGUGGGGACCGCAAACAGGACUUAGACUACCCCUGGUAG
This 479-nucleotide ribosomal RNA is filed under the name uncultured bacterium. RNAcentral describes it as "bacterial SSU rRNA". It matches the Rfam family "Bacterial small subunit ribosomal RNA", at positions 327 to 793 of the family's 1533-position model. The record is from RNAcentral.